GUGGUCAAGGAUUUAUAUAGAUGAGGAGAGGCGUGAGAUAUGGGUGCUAGGGUUUAUUCUUAAAAAAAAUUUAUAAAACUUUCUUUCGUGCUACCGCUUAAUUCCUUCUGUAAAAAAUUUGCUCGCUGCUUGUCCUUCUUUCUUUACCUCCGCGUGCGUGCCCAAGCCAUGCCCAACCACUUCUUUGCUGCGUGCAACGUGCGUACGCAUC
Molecule: long non-coding RNA, 211 nt
Filed under: Elaeis guineensis (African oil palm)
Lineage: Eukaryota; Viridiplantae; Streptophyta; Magnoliopsida; Arecales; Arecaceae
Description: long non-coding RNA (EGUI_LNC038939)
Source: RNAcentral